Long non-coding RNA from Oncorhynchus keta (chum salmon), 1392 nucleotides. RefSeq lists it as uncharacterized. The record is from RefSeq and is a predicted model, not a curated record. Lineage: Eukaryota; Metazoa; Chordata; Actinopteri; Salmoniformes; Salmonidae. The transcript has 6 exons.
GAUCAUGACACUGUGGCACUCAUUUAGGCAAGGGUAUUGUAACGACAGAUUCGGACGAAGAGGAGGUGUAGCAGGGAUCGGACUAAAACGCAGCGUGGCAGAAAGUAAAAAAAGGAAGCGCCCGUGAUUAGGUCUAUCCAACGCUUGUCUGGAGUUGCCAGUGGAAAGGGCAAGUCAAAACAUUGGCUCACCUCUUGGGGCACGUUGUGUGGGGGCUGCCAACUCAGCAGAUAUUAGUGUUGAUAGUUCUGUCAGGUGAGUUCACCGCCCAACUCCCAAUACACAAAAGGGGAUCUUCAAGAGAUGACGCACACAUCUAAGUAUCCAUCUAAGACCAUUAAAGUCGGACCACGUGACUGCUGCACAUAACUUCAAACCCAGAUAGAGUUACAGUAUAGUAGUGAUUCAGUUUGCUAUCGUGGUUCCUGACAUCGAAGCUGCUCAGAGUCAGGUUUCCGUGGGGGUAAUAUUUCAGCAGAUGGGCUCCAGCAUAUUCACACUGGCACAUUCCAUUGAUUCACCGCCUCCUGGACCCAAAGCUUCUGGUAUUCACUCUGUCUCUGCAAGCUUAUACCUGGAGGAAACUUGCAUAAGAGCACUUGAUAAAAUAGUUGAUGUGCAGCCAGCAUCAGUUUCUCCUCAGGAGCCUAAUCUCACCGCAGUCAAUUAGGUAUAGCUUGGACAUCCAAAAGUUUAGGGCUCAAUGAUACACAUAGUUGGAAAGAGACAAUCACCCGACAGUAUCUACAGAUCAGGGAAUGUAGUCCAUUAAACAAAGCUAUAUCCUGGUAAUUUGACAGGGGAAAUGCAAAUGAGAUAUUGAUGAUGAAUGUGCAGCCGGAAACUCUUGAGAUGGACAAUGCUAUGGAGACAUUAAGUGGCCCCUGCUGAACUCUGAACCCUGAACCUUCCAGACACUCGCUUGACUGAGCAGCACUACAUGGCAAAUAUACACUUAAUCACUCGUUCGCUAACUCAUUCUCACUCUCUGUCUCUCUCUCUCUGUCUCUGUCUAUAUCACACUCUCUCUCACACACACACACACACACACACACACACACACACACACACACACACACACACACACACACACACACACACACACACACACACACACACACACACACACACACACACACACACACACGCGCGCACACACACUCACAAAGAAAGACACUCUCAGAAAGGUUUGAAGUUCCUCCUUUUGUGAGGAUUUUAAUCGUAAAUCAAUCUGACACUUUCUAUUUGAGCAUUCAUUACUGAUUUGUUGGCUAGGCAAUUUACCCUUCAUCCCCGCCUCUCUUUACAAACACAAGUUAUCACAUUCUUUUUUGCAUAUCUGCAUGUUAAAAUUCCAAAGACACUUGCACGUCUAAGCUAUCUUUGUUGCAG